This 229-nucleotide ribosomal RNA is filed under the name uncultured bacterium. RNAcentral's name for it is "partial 16S ribosomal RNA". It matches the Rfam family "Bacterial small subunit ribosomal RNA", at positions 568 to 796 of the family's 1533-position model. The record is from RNAcentral.
UCCGUAGGUGGAUAAUUAAGUCAGUGGUGAAAUCCUGCAGCUCAACUGUAGAAUUGCCUUUGAAACUGGUUAUCUUGAGUUAUUAUGAAGUAGUUAGAAUAUGUAGUGUAGCGGUGAAAUGCAUAGAUAUUACGUAGAAUACCAAUUGCGAAGGCAGAUUACUAAUAAUCAACUGACACUGAUGGACGAAAGCGUGGGGAGCGAACAGGAUUAGAUACCCUGGUAGUCC